UUUAAUAACAUCUAUUAGGAAGAGACAGAAACAGAUGUAAAUACAUUGAAAACCAAGCAAUCCAUCCAAUUAAGCUGCUUCACAAUAUCUCACAAAGGUAAAACUGACAUACAAAACCAGUAAGAAAUCUAAUUAUGCCUAGCCCCCUCUUCAGGGUAAAACCUCUUUCCAACCCAUCCAGCAAGGACUGACAAAAUGCUGAGCAAAAUGAAUGAAAAUUUGUGAAUCAAGAUGUUUAUGUUCAAUGAAGUUUUCUUCUUUUGCAUUUCCUUUCUGGUGGUUUACAAGUAUUUUCCAGUAACAGCCUCAACAAUGGUGAUCCUUUUUGAGAGAAGUAAGGUGGAUCACAGUCUAUCCCAAAAGGCAAUGGAUGGAGCUUUAUUUCUAACCAUUGGAGUUACUAAGGGGACACUGUGCCAACUACAUGCAGUACAAGGCUACUGUGACAGGCCUAAGCUAAUUCUCUGACAAGGUUUGUGCUGUUAAGUCCAAACCACCAAAACUGGUGUAGACUCUUGUCUUGUACCCUUCUCCAGCCCGUGCCACACAAGGGCGGUCACUCAGAAGAAGGAAGUGGCACUUCUCUCCUCAUUUGACACACAGGAAGAAGGGGAAGCUAGAGAGGAGAUAUAGGACUGAAGGAUCCCAAAAUAGAGAGAACAAAAACCUGGAGAAAACUGCUGCCAAGAGCUCUGCCUGUGUUUGUUGCCAUCUGUGCACAUCUGGCUCAGGAGCAUUUUUUACCAAGUGACCAAACAGCAUCUUCUACUCUAGUGUGGAGGUCACCCACCCAAGGGUCAACCUUGGCACUCUGCAGGGUGGUCCCCCGUGCCUGGGCUGCUCAGCAAGCCCCUUCUUCACUUGGCUUGCUGUCCUCAUCUGUCCUCUUUCCCCAUCAAAUGCUUUCAUUCACAUACCUGGAAAUGAAGUGUCCCAAGCUGUCUGCAGAGCAGCUGCAGGAUAACAUGACUGGACAACAAAAAGGUGACUUACGUGCUUUACCUUUCAACCAAAGCUGCUCAAUCCCUGGCCAUGCCCUUGUCUCAGCAACAGGUAACAGCUCAUGAAGGCCACCAAGCUCUGGCUUGGUCUCUGAAAACAUCAGGCCAAGGAGAUUAGAGAGGUUUGGUGCCACUCUGGCUGCCAACACCCACCUGGGUCUCCUUUGUCAGCAGUGUUGGCGGUGGGAUCAGCUGCAGGAUCUCGUUCCCAUGAGACUGUCCAUACCCGGCUACACAGACACCUUGGUGGAGUGGGCAUGAAGAGCCAGGAACACGACAUGACCCAAGCCUAUGAUCAAACAACUGCAGGGUGUUCUCUGUCAGCAGCCACAGCCAGAAACAUGGGUACAGUCACAUCUCUCAUUUUCCAGAUCCUUUGGAGUCAUUGGAUCCUGGCGUGUCUUUGAGUGGCUGCUCACCUGCCUCUGGCCUCAGGCACCUGCCAUUUCCCACCACACAGAACUCCACCUGCAGCUUGCACACUGAGCUACCUGUGCUAAAUAUAUUCCUUAAUAGUUAAUUUCCCAGUCUGGGAUUUUGAACAUUCUCCCAGUCUACAGCCACAUUUCCAUAUUCUUUCAGUUAAGCUGAUAAACCCAUUUGACCUGCCAAAAAUGCAUAAAAUGGUAAGAGGAUAAGAGAGAAUUUAUCCUCCACACACUACUUUUUUUUUUUUUUUCAAUAUUCAUUUGCAUUUCUCAGUGAGUGAGAGAGUGGAAAUCAAAUGAGUGCCACUAGGGCUCCCUCCCAAGGGAACAGAGAGAUGAAAUGUCACCAUGGGUUGAUAAUUGAAACAUGAUUGAUUUGAUCUAUAAAUUGUUAUCUGCCCAAAAUAGUUGUCAUUCUGCAGUGCCACAGGGCCUCUUCCUGUCUGAGCAACUGGCCAUUUGCCUGGCCAAAUAAACAGCAGAAAGGUCUAAUUGUUCUUUGUCAGUAGAUGAAUUAAGGAACAGAAGGUUAAGGAAGAGGUGGAAGGAUGUCAGCUGUUGUGUGCAAUGGGUUUCUGGAGCACUGCCAAGUGACUUAGAACACUCUAUCUAUAUGUCCUGGCAUCUCAGGAUUGGAGCUCAGCUGCAUAUCCAUGUUAAGAGAAGAGGAGGAUUUUCCAAAGAGGAUUUUGAUGAGCUCAGAACAACACUCCUCAUAAAGCAUCUUAAUGAACUAUUUACUGGCUGCUUGGCCUCUGUGCUUAAUUCAAUUGAUCUGCAUCUGGGACAGUAGUCUGGUAGGCAAGAAAAGCACAACUGGAGUGAUAAAAAAGGCAAGAGAAGACAAAAUAAAUA
This is a long non-coding RNA of Poecile atricapillus (Black-capped chickadee), 2284 nucleotides long. RefSeq lists it as uncharacterized. Lineage: Eukaryota; Metazoa; Chordata; Aves; Passeriformes; Paridae. The transcript has 3 exons. The record is from RefSeq and is a predicted model, not a curated record.